AACCACAACGAUGUAAAUCUCCAACAAUAUCCUGGCAUUAAGCCUAAACAACAAAAGUCAACCAACAAAGGGCCACAUCAUCAAGUUCCAAAAUUUGAUACAUAGGAGGAAAACAACAAUAAAAUAAUAUAAAUAUUCCCAUCCCACGUAUCAGAGCCCUAGACACGACAAUGAGCCACCACCAACUACUCAGGAUCACCUGCAAGUUACCCAUAGGAAGGGCAACGUUUUCAAGCAGAAGGGGUGAGAUUCACAACAAUAAAUAUAGAUAUUAAAAUCAUCAAUUGAAUCUAACACCCUAA
Molecule: long non-coding RNA, 302 nt
Filed under: Medicago truncatula (barrel medic)
Lineage: Eukaryota; Viridiplantae; Streptophyta; Magnoliopsida; Fabales; Fabaceae
Description: long non-coding RNA (MTRU_LNC005795)
Source: RNAcentral